CUAUGAAUCUUGGGCUUAUGUUCAAUCCUGCUUGUGGCUUCCAAAAUGAUCUGAUAAUUGGUCCGUGGCUUUGUUAUUUUAGAUUAUUUUUCGGUAUCUAAUCGUUCUAGGAAAGACACGGAUACCAAAUGGAGUCUAAAUUACUCUGAAUUUGAGUACCAUUGAUGGAUACGAUGACACCUCCCUCUCUUCUUUUCCACCUAAAUAUAAAACAAAGCCAACACCAUCACACCAACUGUUCCCUUCAUAGCUUGGAAGCUUUAAAACCCAGUGACAGAGAGAGAUGCACCUACUGGAAGCAAUCCAGUCUUCAAAUCAAAGGAAAAACUAUUGGAAACUUCAGAAUUCAUGGCUUUCGGCGGAAAGAUUCUGACUGUCGAGCCAAAGUAUUGAGAAAGAACGUUUGCAUCUGUGGAAGUGACAAGGCAAGUAUAUACCAUUCCUCUUUUCUUGGUGCUUUUUCAUUUGAUCAUACACAAAUAAAUGUGAAAUAAGAGAAAACGUGUUUGCUUUA
This is a long non-coding RNA of Coffea eugenioides, 514 nucleotides long. RefSeq lists it as uncharacterized. The transcript has 2 exons. The record is from RefSeq and is a predicted model, not a curated record. NCBI's taxonomy places the organism in Eukaryota, Viridiplantae, Streptophyta, Magnoliopsida, Gentianales, Rubiaceae.